Molecule: ribosomal RNA, 254 nt
Filed under: uncultured bacterium
Lineage: Bacteria
Description: partial 16S ribosomal RNA
Rfam family: Bacterial small subunit ribosomal RNA
Source: RNAcentral
UACGAAGGGGGCUAGCGUUGCUCGGAAUCACUGGGCGUAAAGCGCACGUAGGCGGAUUGUUAAGUCAGGGGUGAAAUCCUGGAGCUCAACUCCAGAACUGCCUUUGAUACUGGCGAUCUUGAGUCCGGGAGAGGUGAGUGGAACUGCGAGUGUAGAGGUGAAAUUCGUAGAUAUUCGGAAGAACACCAGUGGCGAAGGCGACUUACUGGACACAUAUUGACGCUGAGGUGCGAAAGCGUGGGGAGCAAACAGGG